AUUGAACGCUGGCGGCAGGCCUAACACAUGCAAGUCGAGCGAGCGGCGGACGGGUGAGUAAUGUCUGGGAAACUGCCUGAUGGAGGGGGAUAACUACUGGAAACGGUAGCUAAUACCGCAUACCAUCAGAUGUGCCCAGAUGGGAUUCGCUAGUAGGUGGGGUAACGGCUCAACUAGGCGACGAUCCCUCGCUGGUCUGAGAGGAUGACCAGCCACACUGGAACUGAGACACGGUCCAGACUCCACCGGGAGUCAGCAGUGGGGAAUAUUGCACAAGGGGCGCAAGCCUGAUGCAGCCAUGCCGCGUGUGUGAAGAAGGCCUUCGGUUUGUAAAGCACUUUCAGCGGGGAGGCGUUACCCGCAGAAGAAGCACCGGCUAACUACGUGCCAGCAGCCGCGGUAAUAC
This 406-nucleotide ribosomal RNA is filed under the name uncultured bacterium. Its description in RNAcentral is "partial 16S ribosomal RNA". It matches the Rfam family "Bacterial small subunit ribosomal RNA", at positions 30 to 526 of the family's 1533-position model. The record is from RNAcentral.